GACGAACGCUGGCGGCGUGCUUAACACAUGCAAGUCGAACGGAAAGGCCCCCUUGUGGGGUACUCGAGUGGCGAACGGGUGAGUAACACGUGAGUAACCUACCCUUGACUUUGGGAUAACUUCAGGAAACUGGGGCUAAUACCGGAUAGGAGCUCCUGCCGCAUGGUGGGGGUUGGAAAGUUUCGGCGGUUGGGGAUGGACUCGCGGCUUAUCAGCUUGUUGGUGGGGUAGUGGCUCACCAAGGCUUUGACGGGUAGCCGGCCUGAGAGGGUGACCGGCCACAUUGGGACUGGGAUACGGCCCAGACUCCUACGGGAGGCAGGAGUGGGGAAUAUUGCACAAUGGGCGGAAGCCGGAUGCAGCAACGCCGCGUGCGGGAUGACGGCCUUCGGGUUGUAAACCGCUUUCGCCUGUGACGAAGCGUGAGUGACGGUAAUGGGUAAAGAAGCACCGGCUAACUACGU
RNAcentral lists this ribosomal RNA (464 nucleotides) under uncultured bacterium. Its description in RNAcentral is "partial 16S ribosomal RNA". It matches the Rfam family "Bacterial small subunit ribosomal RNA", at positions 28 to 506 of the family's 1533-position model. The record is from RNAcentral.